Cyprinodon tularosa is the source of this 896-nucleotide long non-coding RNA. RefSeq lists it as uncharacterized. NCBI's taxonomy places the organism in Eukaryota, Metazoa, Chordata, Actinopteri, Cyprinodontiformes, Cyprinodontidae. The record is from RefSeq and is a predicted model, not a curated record. The transcript has 5 exons.
UUCUGUGUUUUUUGAAUGUUGGACCGAGCCUCUCCAAGCUUUGGGCCAUCAGAAGAUGCUGAUGAGAUCUGCAGCGACCAAACCAGAGGAGGAUCAUCUGGGCUGCCGACCUUCACAAAGAACACUGUGGACGUCCUAAAGCAGAACUCCUGUGAGGAACCGGGACCUCCAGGAUGGUGAGGAGCUUCCCAGUCCCCACCUGAGGACGGCACAGAGAAAGACUGGAACAGAAAACACACGGAGGAAAGCAGGUUGAACAGCUAGCAGUGUUCUAGCAGUCGGAUCACAUCGGAACAGAGACCAUCCACACAUGUUUGGAGGAGCUGAAGAAGAGGAUGAAGCACACAGACCGCUAAGGAGGAGAGACAUGGCUCCUAUAUUUCUCUUUAACAUUCUGGAGUCCUGGAGUAAAACAACGUUGACGACCCCGCAGCUAAACCACCAGUCUGCUCCACCCAGUAGAAGAAGAUGAGGUCAUCUGUUCCUUGGACGUCAGUAGAUGGGCUCUGACAUGGAGGUUCCUUCCUGUUUGAAGCUAGUUUUCCUCUCUACUGUCACCACUUCAUUGCUCAGGAGGGACUGCUGCAAAAUGAACGACUGGAUGUGAUUGGCUGAGCUUCCUUGGAUUGAAGACAUUUCUCUAAACGCCAUAAUAAGCUGAAUUUAUCUUCCCCAUGUUGUAAAUAGGAUUGGACUGGAUGUUUGUUUUUCAAUUUGAUUCUGUUUGUGUUGAAUUCUGUUACAUGUUUCUGUAUUAAAGCUGUCAUGUUAAUUGCCUUUAGAUGACAUUUGUUGGGACUUGUUUCUAUUUUAUAAGACUGUAUUAUAAUAAAUCCCCCUACUGGGUCUGUUUCUGUUGAAGUAUGUUUCCUGUCGUUCUAUCUUCUCCUGUUAUU